Molecule: ribosomal RNA, 1397 nt
Filed under: uncultured bacterium
Lineage: Bacteria
Description: bacterial SSU rRNA
Rfam family: Bacterial small subunit ribosomal RNA
Source: RNAcentral
AGAGUUUGAUCCUGGCUCAGGAUGAAUGCUGGCGGCGUGCUUAACACAUGCAAGUCGAACGAAGUGGAUUUUUUCGGAAUGAAACUUAGUGGCGGACGGGUGAGUAACGCGUGGGUAACCUGCCUUAUACAGGGGGAUAACAGUUAGAAAUGACUGCUAAUACCGCAUAAGCGCACAGUACCGCAUGGUACAGUGUGAAAAACUCCGGUGGUAUGAGAUGGACCCGCGUCUGAUUAGCUAGUUGGUGAGGUAACGGCCCACCAAGGCAACGAUCAGUAGCCGGCCUGAGAGGGUGGUCGGCCACAUUGGGACUGAGACACGGUCCAGACUCCUACGGGAGGCAGCAGUGAGGAAUAUUGGUCAAUGGUCUGACGACUGAACCAGCCAUGCCGCGUGAAGGUGACGGCCCUAUGGGUCUUAAACUUCUUUUGCAAGGGAGCAAUAAGUGUUACGUGUAGCACGAUGAGAGUACCUUGCGAAUAAGCAUCGGCUAACUACGUGCCAGCAGCCGCGGUAAUACGUAGGGCGCAAGCGUUAUCCGGAAUUAUUGGGCGUAAAGAGCUCGUAGGCGGUUUGUCGCGUCUGCUGUGAAAGCCCGGGGCUCAACCCCGGGUCUGCAGUGGGUACGGGCAGACUAGAGUGCAGUAGGGGAGACUGGAAUUCCUGGUGUAGCGGUGAAAUGCGCAGAUAUCAGGAGGAACACCGAUGGCGAAGGCAGGUCUCUGGGCUGUAACUGACGCUGAGGAGCGAAAGCAUGGGGAGCGAACAGGAUUAGAUACCCUGGUAGUCCAUGCCGUAAACGUUGGGCACUAGGUGUGAGGGACAUUCCACGUUUUCCGCGCCGUAGCUAACGCAUUAAGUGCCCCGCCUGGGGAGUACGGCCGCAAGGCUAAAACUCAAAGGAAUUGACGGGGGCCCGCACAAGCGGCGGAGCAUGCGGAUUAAUUCGAUGCAACGCGAAGAACCUUACCAAGGCUUGACAUGAACCGGAAAGGCCUGGAAACAGGUCCCCCACUUGUGGCCGGUUUACAGGUGGUGCAUGGUUGUCGUCAGCUCGUGUCGUGAGAUGUUGGGUUAAGUCCCGCAACGAGCGCAACCCUCGUUCUAUGUUGCCAGCGGGUUAUGCCGGGGACUCAUAGGAGACUGCCGGGGUCAACUCGGAGGAAGGUGGGGACGACGUCAAAUCAUCAUGCCCCUUAUGUCUUGGGCUUCACGCAUGCUACAAUGGCCGGUACAAAGGGUUGCGAUACUGUGAGGUGGAGCUAAUCCCAAAAAGCCGGUCUCAGUUCGGAUUGAGGUCUGCAACUCGACCUCAUGAAGUUGGAGUCGCUAGUAAUCGCAGAUCAGCAACGCUGCGGUGAAUACGUUCCCGGGCCUUGCACACACAGGCCGUCAAG